Molecule: ribosomal RNA, 301 nt
Filed under: uncultured bacterium
Lineage: Bacteria
Description: partial 16S ribosomal RNA
Rfam family: Bacterial small subunit ribosomal RNA
Source: RNAcentral
CAGUCGCCGCGGUAAUACGUAGGGUGCAAGCGUUAAUCGGAAUUACUGGGCGUAAAGCGUGCGCAGGCGGUUCGCUAAGACAGAUGUGAAAUCCCCGGGCUUAGCCUGGGAACUGCAUUUGUGACUGGCGGGCUAGAGUAUGGCAGAGGGGGGUAGAAUUCCACGUGUAGCAGUGAAAUGCGUAGAGAUGUGGAGGAAUACCGAUGGCGAAGGCAGCCCCCUGGGCCGAUACUGACGCUCAUGCACGAAAGCGUGGGGAGCAAACAGGAUUAGAUACCCGAGUAGUCCCUGUCUCUUAUAC